CACUUCGCCAUUUUCCUCCGGAAGUGCGGAUCCCAGCGGCGGUCGUGUAGCUGAGCAGGCCUGGGGCUUGGUUCUAUGUCCCUGUAGCUAUGUUUCCAGUGUCCUCUGGGUGUUUCCAAGAGCAACAAGAAACGAAUAAAUCUCUGCCCCGCAGCGCCUCCACCCCAGAGACCCGGACCAAGUUCACACAGGACAAUCUGUGCCACGCCCAGCGCGAGCGCCUGGACUCGGCCAACCUGUGGGUGCUGGUGGACUGCAUCCUUCGCGACACCUCCGAGGACCUGGGACUCCAGUGUGACGCCGUGAACCUGGCCUUCGGGCGCCGCUGUGAGGAACUGGAGGACGCGCGGCACAAGCUGCAGCACCACCUGCACAAGGUGGGGCACCCUGAACCCCGAAGACGGCUCCGGCGCCUGCCCACCACUCUGCCCCCUCUCAUCACCUGGCCUGGGCCCUCAACACCUUUCUCCUCUGUCCCACUUAUCCCGAGGGACCCCAGAAGCAAGUGUCACCUCUCCGUAAACCUAUGUAAAACCAGGUGACACUGGGUAUGAUCGCAGUGUGUUGCAACCCCCAUGACUGAGAAGGAGGAGCUGUGGGGAGGAUGGAGGCAGGAGCUGGUCUGGGGAGCAUUGACUGCCUGGGAGGUCCCCAAGAGUCCUGGCCUGGCAGGCAGGGCUCUGACUCUAGGGCCUCAGCAUGGCCUUUACCACCUCUGAGUCCCCAGUCCUUGAGCAGGAUUUGGGUCCUGGUGACCACCAAGGAUGGGGGGUUCUUGGACCAGAGCUAAGAGACAACAGGCUGCCUGACUCUCCAGAGCCCGCUGGGGGCCCCGUGCACAUUGUUCCCCUCACCCACGCCUCCCCAGGGCCACUGGUCAGGACCACCCUCUGGACACAGCCCCAGGAGCUGGGUAGGACCAGACUGGUCUCUACAUUCCAUAUGCCCGGGCAUGGGGGCACAGGCCCAAGGGGCACUGUCCUGUCUGCAGAUGCUGCGGGAAAUCACAGAUCAGGAACACAACGUGGUGGCACUGAAGGAGGCCAUCAAGGACAAGGAGGAACCUCUGCACAUAGCCCAGACCCGGCUGUAGUUGCUCUCACACCGGCCCAACAUGCAGCUGUGCCGCGAUGCAGCCCAGUUCAGGUACUGCCUGGGCCUCUGAGGCAGUCCCAGGUGCCCCCAUCCACCUCCUCGCUGCGACCCUCUCCAAUAAACACUCCAAUCUCCACACACACAUCCCCCACAGGUGCUGAGAGGGGAGGGAGACUCUGCGGCCACACACAACAUGCAAGCACGCCUUAAACACACAGAUAUAGACAUGACACUGGGCAGGUCAUGGGUCGGGGGCCUCCCCGUGCCAGGGACCUGUGCCCACGUGGUCUCACCCCACCCUGUGCUACCUCAUCUUCCCGGGAGGAAGCUCCUUCAGACAAGGUGAGCUCCUGGAGGCCACGGGGCCAGAGAGGCCAGAGAGGGCCAUUCCCUGCUGCCCUGAGGGUGCUGUCCCCACCUCUGGUGGAAAGUAUGACCUACGCCUGGGCUACAGGCAUAGAUGGGCCGUCCUUUUGUUUCCCUUGUUAACGGAUGCCUGGUGGCCCCUUCUGAGCCUAAGUACCUUUCUUCCUUCCCUGCCCCUCAGUUCCUUCAAGGAACUGGGUGCCUCCUUCCGUCAAAUAUCAGGAAUGGAAAGAACUGAGCCUGGUCGGCUGAGGCCAGUCCUGUCCUGUCAGGGUCGAGAUUGCACGCGGGUCACUCAUUCCCACUCAGGCCCGCGCUCCCUGGGAGGACCCUCGUAAUUUAUGCUCUGCCCUAGAGCCGCUUUCCUGGUAGGAUCCUUUCAUGGCGUCUUCCCAGGACCUCCUGCCAGCUCCCAUUGGGAGUUUUGGGUCCCCUCCACCCCAGUAGGUGCAUACUUCUGCCCUCCCCAGCCCCAGCUCACACCCCCCAACACCCCCAAGCUGGUGAGUGAGGUGGAGGAGCUGUACAAGUCCAUCACAGCGCUGCGGGAGAAGCUUCUACAAGCGGAGCAGUCCCUGCGCAACCUCAAGGACAUCCACAUGAGCCUGGAGAAGGACGUCACUGCCAUGACCAACAGUCUCUUCAUCGACCGCCAGAAGUGCAUGGCCCAUCGUACUUGCUACCCCACCAUUCUGCAGCUGGCUGGCUACCAGUGAGCAGCGGCACGGUGCUUCCCCCCAAUCCCCCAAAUAAACAGUGCGUUAGCUUUCU
Molecule: long non-coding RNA, 2232 nt
Organism: Homo sapiens (human)
Lineage: Eukaryota; Metazoa; Chordata; Mammalia; Primates; Hominidae
Gene: TEKT4P2
Product: tektin 4 pseudogene 2
Source: Ensembl